CGGCACGGGUGAGUAACACGUAUCCAACCUGCCGUCUACUCUUGGCCAGCCUUCUGAAAGGAAGAUUAAUCCAGGAUGGCAUCAUGAGUUCACAUGUCCGCAUGAUUAAAGGUAUUUUCCGGUAGACGAUGGGGAUGCGUUCCAUUAGAUAGUAGGCGGGGUAACGGCCCACCAGUCAACGAUGGAUAGGGGUUCUGAGAGGAAGGUCCCCCACAUUGGAACUGAGACACGGUCCAA
Molecule: ribosomal RNA, 237 nt
Filed under: uncultured bacterium
Lineage: Bacteria
Description: partial 16S ribosomal RNA
Rfam family: Bacterial small subunit ribosomal RNA
Source: RNAcentral